UACCCGAAUAGUAACUCACAACAACUUAACAAACUAAACACACAACCAAGGAAAUCUGAGCUCUACCACAACUCCACAGUUCAUUUCAAAUACAAACAAUCGAUUCCAAUCCAAAGUUUCAGUACCAGCAACAGAUAAACCAACUCAAGCUACCCAAACUUCAAUUCAAGAUUUUGAAUUAUACCUUCACAACCCAACUCGGUUUUCCGGAAUUCCUAGCUGAAUUGGGCUAAUGAUGAACUGAGGAUUUUGACGCCAAUAACCCAGAAAGUCUCUUGAUUUCUGUCCACCAACGCAGCCAAGAUGAAAACCAAGCCCAGCAUGACCGGAAAAACUACCGGCGUCGAGGAACACGGCAAACUCAAAAUCAAACUCAGAAACGAAAUCGUUAACGCGGGGUCAAAAUCAAAAUCUAAUUAUACUGGGGUGUAGAGCUUGACGAGGAGAUGAAUUUUCAUACCACUUGCAGCUCCAACGGUGGCCGGAAAUUGCAGAACUCGCCGGAGAGACUCAGACCUUCUCACCGACGUUUCUCCCUCCCCGUCCGGUGCAUGGGCAGUCGAAGACCACAGGCAUGACGGCGACGACAAGAGGAAGAGGUCGGUGGUCUUGAGUCGUCGAUCGGUGGCCGGACGGCGUCCCUCCGGUCCGGUUUCUCUCUCGGGCCGUGCUGCUCCUCUGGUUAGAGCACCGAGCUCUAUCUCCCUCUCUCUCGAUC
This 718-nucleotide long non-coding RNA is filed under the name Rosa chinensis. RNAcentral describes it as "sRNA RchiOBHm_Chr1g0330171". The record is from RNAcentral. Lineage: Eukaryota; Viridiplantae; Streptophyta; Magnoliopsida; Rosales; Rosaceae.